Triticum dicoccoides is the source of this 239-nucleotide long non-coding RNA. RefSeq lists it as uncharacterized. The record is from RefSeq and is a predicted model, not a curated record. The transcript has 3 exons. Lineage: Eukaryota; Viridiplantae; Streptophyta; Magnoliopsida; Poales; Poaceae.
CCGCCCGCUCCUCGUCCUCCGCCGCCACCGUCUUCGAGCGCCGAUUCACCUCCGCCGGGACGAAGAACUCGUAUGAUGAAGUCCUCACGAGCCUCGCCAAGCCGGGAGGGGGAGCCGACUUCGGCAAGUACUACAGCCUGCCUGCGCUCGCCAAUCCGUGGAUUGAUCGGCUACCCUACUCGCCUCCUAUCCACUCCCUGGUCCAAGUGCAAGGCGUUGUGAAAUUCAGUAGGUUGGCA